RNAcentral lists this ribosomal RNA (48 nucleotides) under Cladosporium halotolerans. Its description in RNAcentral is "partial 28S ribosomal RNA". The record is from RNAcentral. Lineage: Eukaryota; Fungi; Ascomycota; Dothideomycetes; Cladosporiales; Cladosporiaceae.
UUGACCUCGGAUCAGGUAGGGAUACCCGCUGAACUCAAUAAGCGGAGG